UACAGGAAGUUCUGCUGGCUGGAGUGGU
RNAcentral lists this non-coding RNA (28 nucleotides) under Mus musculus (house mouse). Lineage: Eukaryota; Metazoa; Chordata; Mammalia; Rodentia; Muridae. The record is from RNAcentral.